ACCGGGCCCCACGAAAGUCGUGUGAAAAUUUAAAACGAUGUCAACCAGAAAAAUAACGUCCACCACACUAUCCAGUACCAGCCAGGCUAUGUUGUUCUGCUUUGUUUUGAAGGAAACAUUAUAAGGAACCAUAAUGGCGGUGUAGAAGACAUUCAGGACCCAAUUCUCUAGACAGUGAUUUGCAUAUGUAAAGCCCUCCAAAAAAAUGCAAGAUGAGGACAAAAAGGAGGAGGAAAGGGUAGAGAAGGACAAGGAGGAGGAAGAAGAGGAAAAUGGCAACAACAAAAAACAGUGCACAAAAAAUAAGCUUCAUCUUUUUCAUAUGCAAAGCACCACUAAUCUUCACUCUGUCCCUGGGCUCUUUCAUAAAACAGUGGAAGGAUGCAAAUGACAAGGCCCAAGGGGAUAGCAAAGCUGCUGAAUAACUGUGUGGGAAAAUGCCAUAUGCCAGCCAGGAUCCGUUGCCUUGGACUGUUAUAUGAGCAAGAAAUGUGCUUCUAUUGUACUAAGCCACUGAAAGUUGGGGAUUUAUUUGUUAUAGCAGCUAGUCUUACCCUAAUAAAAACAGUCCUUCAAUGUGUUUGUGUGCAGAUAUAAGAGAAUAAAACUGAAUUUCAACA
Long non-coding RNA from Symphalangus syndactylus (siamang), 620 nucleotides. RefSeq lists it as uncharacterized. The record is from RefSeq and is a predicted model, not a curated record. NCBI's taxonomy places the organism in Eukaryota, Metazoa, Chordata, Mammalia, Primates, Hylobatidae.